GACGAACGCUGGCGGCGUGCUUAACACAUGCAAGUCGAACGCUGAAGCCUAGCUUGCUGGGUGGAUGAGUGGCGAACGGGUGAGUAACACGUGAGUAACCUGCCCCCUUCUUUGGGAUAACGCCCGGAAACGGGUGCUAAUACUGGAUAUUCACUGAUCUUCGCAUGGGGGUUGGUGGAAAGGUUUGUUCUGGUGGGGGAUGGGCUCGCGGCCUAUCAGCUUGUUGGUGGGGUGAUGGCCUACCAAGGCUUUGACGGGUAGCCGGCCUGAGAGGGUGACCGGUCACAUUGGGACUGAGAUACGGCCCAGACUCCUACGGGAGGCAGCAGUGGGGAAUAUUGCACAAUGGGCGCAAGCCUGAUGCAGCGACGCCGCGUGAGGGAUGGAGGCCUUCGGGUUGUAAACCUCUUUCGCUGAUGGUCAAGCCGCAACAGUGGUUGUGGUGAGGGUAGUGGGUAAAGAAGCGCCGGCUAACUACGUGCCAGCAGCCGCGGUAAUACGUAGGGCGCGAGCGUUGUCCGGAAUUAUUGGGCGUAAAGGGCUUGUAGGCGGUUGGUCGCGUCUGCCGUGAAAUCCUCUGGCUUAACUGGGGGCGUGCGGUGGGUACGGGCUGACUUGAGUGCGGGUAGGGGGGACUGGGAACUCCUGGUGUAGCGGUGGAAUGCGCAGAUAUCAGGAAGAACACCGGUGGCGAAAGGCGGGUCUCUGGGGCCGUUACUGACGCUGAGGACGAAAGCGUGGGGAGCGAACAGA
RNAcentral lists this ribosomal RNA (753 nucleotides) under uncultured Actinomyces sp. RNAcentral's name for it is "bacterial SSU rRNA". It matches the Rfam family "Bacterial small subunit ribosomal RNA", at positions 28 to 776 of the family's 1533-position model. The record is from RNAcentral. Lineage: Bacteria; Bacillati; Actinomycetota; Actinomycetes; Actinomycetales; Actinomycetaceae.